This is a long non-coding RNA of Schistocerca serialis cubense, 1165 nucleotides long. RefSeq lists it as uncharacterized. The transcript has 2 exons. The record is from RefSeq and is a predicted model, not a curated record. Lineage: Eukaryota; Metazoa; Arthropoda; Insecta; Orthoptera; Acrididae.
CGCUACUUGACCGGGCGUCGCAUCACGGAAUGAACUCUGUCAUCGGCCGCCGCACAUCACCUCGUCCGUUUCCUGCCCACGCUAAUCAUCGCACGAGGGACCGUCUACUCGGCGCCAAGUGACAGGGGCGUCGGUACUACGAAAGCUCGGGACCACCGUGAGACGCAACGGCACCUUUACCGAGGACCGGAGAGCGCACCGGCAGCGAUGUGACUGACGUCAAGCUGCAGUGACGACACAGCACGGCGCGGCCUGUAAUCAGGAGGUCGGCAGCGAUAAAAGCCCGCCCGCCCUCCCACGCCGACUGCGAGCUCAGCUCGGCGCUUGUUGGUCGCCCGCUGCGAGCAGAAAGUCUGAAGUGCAAAGACUGCGGCGGCGGCGGCGGCGGCGGCACCUCGUGUCAGCAGUUGCGAGCGCCGAUAGCGCCGUAUCAUUCCCACCGUGGAACGCUAGGCGUCCGCUGGCCGCGAGCGCUGGAUUAAAAGUAAGCUGCCGUGGAUGAUCAACAGCUGCGCCAGCCUUACUGAUCAAACGCCUCUGGAAACUUGAGGAUAAUCCAACAACAUCUAUUCAUAGUAAGCUGUUGGCGGUAUAUGAGGACAAACAAAUGGAAGUAAUGUGUUUCGAUGGCUUUUGAGAUUUUGACAUGGUACAGCAACAAGGGCCAGCCAUAUUGAGGCAGACUAUUACCUACUAUGUCUAAUGAAAAAGCUUCCAUCAGCGGUGAACGACUCCUAUAAACAACAUCGUCCGCGAUUCAAGAAGUCUGAAUGUGUCUUAAGAAAAAAGUGACCAGAGCUACACACUACAAACAUCUCUUUGCUUCGCGAUAAAGAAAACCUGCAUACUGUGCAUACGACAACUCAGAAGACCGUCCAUCUCUGAUGAUCAGUGACUACACAAAACUCAGACCCUGUCGACCUAGCACAUUCGGUCAUUUAUCUUCUAAAAAACUAAAGGCAUUGGGAACAGUUUCGAGCUCACAGCACAUGUGAAAAAGUUGUGUAAUGCUGAAUGUCGAUAGCGCCAGGAGUGUUACUUUUUAUUUCUUUAUUUAAACGUCACGUUCCGUGGUACCAAAUUGAGAGCAAAUCUCGAAGGUCAUGGAAUGUGUCAGUACUUGAAGUUAAAACAUAAAAGUAAUAAAAGAUACCAAUAAAAUGUU